AUUUAUAAUUCAUCCUUAGGACAGCUGUUGCCGUCAAUGGGUACAUUAAUUACUUUUCUUGUGAUAAACAUAUAAGAAGGAUCCACAUUGAGCGAAAUGACAGUAACUGAAACGAGCUCUUGAGUCAGAUAGAAGUGUCUCAGAACGUUUGCAAGGAGAUUAUUACUGCUAAAGAUGAAAUCGAUGACGCUCACGGUAGUUAUCAUCACAGUGUCUUGCCUACUUAUAGUGUUGUCUCCCCAUGCAAAUGCCCAGUGUUCGGUAUCGUGUUCGGAUGAUAAAAAGCGAUGCACUGCUGCCUGCGUAGUGCUACCAAUAUCUGAAGAGCAGACAUGCAUCGAUUUCUGUUACGAUCAACACGUGAAAUGUCAAAACGAUUGCUCCGCAGUAUCAGGAAGAUUUCUUCGCCGGGAUGAGAACCUACUGGAAGAACGGUCUCAGAGCAAUUUUGAUUAAAUCUACAACCCAUGGACAAGCGACGCAAGUUGCUUGGAAAACUGAAACAUACGGAUACUUGAAAACUGGGUUGAACUAAAACUACGAGUAAAAGAAAUUUCAAAACUACUUCAGUAAAAUGAUGUAGUCGCGUGACUUGCUCAGUAAAUAUAAUAAGUUUUUAAACGUAACUUAUAAAAGAGUUGAUUAAAACAUUAUAAACUAUUA
Molecule: long non-coding RNA, 663 nt
Organism: Orbicella faveolata
Lineage: Eukaryota; Metazoa; Cnidaria; Anthozoa; Scleractinia; Merulinidae
Source: RefSeq, a predicted model, not a curated record